AGAGUUUGAUCAUGGCUCAGAAUCAACGCUGGCGGCGUGCCUAACACAUGCAAGUCGAACGAGAAAGUGGUAGCAAUACCAUGAGUAAAGUGGCGCACGGGUGAGUAACACGUGACUAACCUACCCUUGAGUGGGGGAUAACUGAGGGAAACCUUAGCUAAUACCGCAUAAUACCCACGGGUCAAAGGAGCAAUUCGCUCGAGGAGGGGGUCGCGGCCGAUUAGUUAGUUGGCGGGGUAAUGGCCCACCAAGACGAUGAUCGGUAUCCGGCCUGAGAGGGCGCACGGACACACUGGAACUGAAACACGGUCCAGACUCCUACGGGAGGCAGCAGUGGGGAAUUUUGCGCAAUGGGGGAAACCCUGACGCAGCAACGCCGCGUGGAGGAUGAAGUCCUUCGGGACGUAAACUCCUUUCGAUCGGGACGAUUAUGACGGUACCGGAAGAAGAAGCCCCGGCUAACUUCGUGCCAGCAGCCGCGGUAAUACGAGGGGGGCGAGCGUUGUUCGGAAUUAUUGGGCGUAAAGGGUGCGUAGGCGGUUUGGUAAGUCUGAUGUGAAAUCUAUGGGCUCAACUCAUAGUCUGCAUCGGAAACUGCCGGGCUUGAGUGUGGGAGAGGUGAGUGGAAUUUCCGGUGUAGCGGUGAAAUGCGUAGAUAUCGGAAGGAACACCUGUGGCGAAAGCGGCUCACUGGACCACAACUGACGCUGAUGCACGAAAGCUAGGGGAGCAAACAGGAUUAGAUACCCUAGUAGUCC
Molecule: ribosomal RNA, 758 nt
Filed under: uncultured bacterium
Lineage: Bacteria
Description: bacterial SSU rRNA
Rfam family: Bacterial small subunit ribosomal RNA
Source: RNAcentral